GAAAUGCGAUAAUUAAUGUGAAUUGCAGAAUUCAGUGAAUCAUCGAGUCUUUGAACGCACAUUGCGCCCCCUGGUAUUCCGGGGGGCAUGCCUGUCCGAGCGUCAUUGUUGCCCUCAAGCACGGCUUGUGUGUUGGGCUUCCGUCCCUGGCAACGGGGACGGGCCCAAAAGGCAGUGGCGGCACCAUGUCUGGUCCUCGAGCGUAUGGGGCUUUGUCACCCGCUCCCGUAGGUCCAGCUGGCAGCUAGCCUCGCAACCAAUCUUUUUAACCAGGUUGACCUCGGAUCAGGUAGGGAUACCCGUUGAACUUAAGC
Molecule: unclassified non-coding RNA, 314 nt
Filed under: plant metagenome
Description: partial contains 5.8S ribosomal RNA, internal transcribed spacer 2, and large subunit ribosomal RNA
Rfam family: 5.8S ribosomal RNA (bases 1-105)
Source: RNAcentral